CGUCAAAUCAUCAUGCCCCUUAUGUCCUGGGCUACACACGUGCUACAAUGGCCGGUACAAAGGGAAGCGAAGCUGCGAGGCCAAGCGGAUCCCACAAAGCCGGUCUCAGUUCGGAUUGCAGGCUGCAACUCGCCUGCAUGAAGUCGGAAUCGCUAGUAAUCGCAGGUCAGCAUACUGCGGUGAAUACGUUCCCGGGCCUU
Molecule: ribosomal RNA, 200 nt
Filed under: uncultured organism
Description: partial small subunit ribosomal RNA
Rfam family: Bacterial small subunit ribosomal RNA
Source: RNAcentral